GAGAUUUUAACCUCCCAUGGAAAGCUUUUCCUGUAAACAGUAAAAUGGAAAGAACAAAAGAAAACAAAAUUAUUGAAAAGUUACUAAGCUUUUUGGAUCUCCACAGUUAAGUGUGUCUCCAGGAAGCAGCCUAUGGAAGAGAAGCAGAAUAUUUCACAACCAGUUAUGGGACAGUAUCAAGUUUCCUUACAAGGUCAAGUCUCAGCCUCCCUUGUACCAGCACCUCAGGAUGGGGGUACAUGCAACAAGAAUUUCAGCGACUUCUGUAACAUCUUGCACAU
Molecule: long non-coding RNA, 281 nt
Organism: Apus apus (common swift)
Lineage: Eukaryota; Metazoa; Chordata; Aves; Apodiformes; Apodidae
Exons: 4
Source: RefSeq, a predicted model, not a curated record